AUACGUAGGGUGCGAGCGUUGUCCGGAAUUACUGGGCGUAAAGAGCUCGUAGGUGGUUUGUCGCGUCGUCUGUGAAAUUCCGGGGCUUAACUCCGGGCGUGCAGGCGAUACGGGCAUAACUUGAGUACUGUAGGGGAGACUGGAAUUCCUGGUGUAGCGGUGAAAUGCGCAGAUAUCAGGAGGAACACCGGUGGCGAAGGGGGGUCUAUGGGCAGUAAAUGACGCUGAGGAGCGAAAGCAUGGGUAGCGAACAGGAUUAGAUACCCUGGUAGUCCAUGCCGUAAACGGUGGGCGCUAGGUGUAGGGGUCUUCCACGACUUCUGUGCCGUAGCUAACGCAUUAAGCGCCCCGCCUGGGGAGUACGGCCGCAAGGCUAAAACUCAAAUGAAUUGACGGGG
Molecule: ribosomal RNA, 398 nt
Filed under: uncultured bacterium
Lineage: Bacteria
Description: partial 16S ribosomal RNA
Rfam family: Bacterial small subunit ribosomal RNA
Source: RNAcentral